AUUGAACGCUGGCGGCAGGCCUAUCACAUGCAAGUCGAACGGUAACAGGAAGAAGCUUGCUUCUUUGCUGACGAGUGGCGGACGGGUGAGUAAUGUCUGGGAAACUGCCUGAUGGAGGGGGAUAACUACUGGAAACGGUAGCUAAUACCGCAUAACGUCGCAAGACCAAAGAGGGGGACCUUCGGGCCUCUUGCCAUCGGAUGUGCCCAGAUGGGAUUAGCUAGUAGGGGGGGUAACGGCUCACCUAGGCGACGAUCCCUAGCUGGUCUGAGAGGAUGACCAGCCACACUGGAACUGAGACACGGUCCAGACUCCUACGGGAGGCAGCAGUGGGGAAUAUUGCACAAUGGGCGCAAGCCUGAUGCAGCCAUGCCGCGUGUAUGAAGAAGGCCUUCGGGUUGUAAAGUACUUUCAGCGGGGAGGAAGGGAGUAAAGUUAAUACCUUUGCUCAUUGACGUUACCCGCAGAAGAAGCACCGGCUAACUCCGUGCCAGCCGCCGCAGUAA
RNAcentral lists this ribosomal RNA (506 nucleotides) under uncultured bacterium. RNAcentral describes it as "partial 16S ribosomal RNA". It matches the Rfam family "Bacterial small subunit ribosomal RNA", at positions 30 to 523 of the family's 1533-position model. The record is from RNAcentral.